AUUCCAGCUCCAGUAGCGUAUAUUAUUACUGUUGUAGUUAAAAAGCUCGUAGUUGAAUAUCUGGCGUUGGGAAGCCCUGCCCGCCGCGAUUCGCGUGUGAGUUGUGGGGCGUCCCCGCCAUCCUGUGUGGGAGCCCGCCUACCCUUCAUUGGGCCGGGCGGUGCGAGCACACUCAGUUACUUUGAGAAAAUCUGCGCGUUCAAAGCAGGCACACGCUAUGAAAGCUUCAGCAUGGAAUAACAAGAUAGGACCUGGGUCUCUAUUUUGUUGGUUUCUAGGAUCGAGGUGAUGAUUGAUAGAGACAGUUGGGGGUGCUUGUAUUUAUUAGCUAGAGGUGGAAUUCUCUAAUUUGAUAAAGACUAACUUAUGCGAAAGCAUUUGCCAAGGAUGUUUUCAUC
Molecule: ribosomal RNA, 398 nt
Filed under: Metromonas sp.
Lineage: Eukaryota; Cercozoa; Imbricatea; Metromonadea
Description: partial small subunit ribosomal RNA
Rfam family: Eukaryotic small subunit ribosomal RNA
Source: RNAcentral